Molecule: ribosomal RNA, 465 nt
Filed under: Shigella flexneri
Lineage: Bacteria; Pseudomonadati; Pseudomonadota; Gammaproteobacteria; Enterobacterales; Enterobacteriaceae
Description: partial 23S ribosomal RNA
Rfam family: Bacterial large subunit ribosomal RNA
Source: RNAcentral
UGUGAGCUCGAUGAGUAGGGCGGGACACGUGGUAUCCUGUCUGAAUAUGGGGGGACCAUCCUCCAAGGCUAAAUACUCCUGACUGACCGAUAGUGAACCAGUACCGUGAGGGAAAGGCGAAAAGAACCCCGGCGAGGGGAGUGAAAAAGAACCUGAAACCGUGUACGUACAAGCAGUGGGAGCACGCUUAGGCGUGUGACUGCGUACCUUUUGUAUAAUGGGUCAGCGACUUAUAUUCUGUAGCAAGGUUAACCGAAUAGGGGAGCCGAAGGGAAACCGAGUCUUAACUGGGCGUUAAGUUGCAGGGUAUAGACCCGAAACCCGGUGAUCUAGCCAUGGGCAGGUUGAAGGUUGGGUAACACUAACUGGAGGACCGAACCGACUAAUGUUGAAAAAUUAGCGGAUGACUUGUGGCUGGGGGUGAAAGGCCAAUCAAACCGGGAGAUAGCUGGUUCUCCCCGAAAG